This 775-nucleotide ribosomal RNA is filed under the name uncultured Neocallimastigales. RNAcentral describes it as "partial large subunit ribosomal RNA". It matches the Rfam family "Eukaryotic large subunit ribosomal RNA", at positions 26 to 621 of the family's 3401-position model. The record is from RNAcentral. Lineage: Eukaryota; Fungi; Neocallimastigomycota; Neocallimastigomycetes; Neocallimastigales.
CGCAUCUGUGCAUGCAGCAUAUCAAUAAGCGGAGGAAAAGAAACUAACAAGGAUUCCCUUAGUAACGGCGAGUGAAGCGGGAAGAGCUCAAAUUUGAAAUCUUCAAGGUUUUACCUUGACGAAUUGUAGUUUAAAGAAGUGUUUUCUGUUGAAGUUUUGGUAAAAGUUCUUUGGAAUAGGACAUCAUAGGAGGGUGAGAAUCCCGUAUUUGACCAUUAUUUUCAGCUGUGUGAUACACUUUCAAAGAGUCGGAUUGUUUGGGAAUGCAGUCCAAAAUGGGUGGUAAAUUUCAUCUAAAGCUAAAUAUUGGCGAGAGACCGAUAGCGAACAAGUACCGUGAGGGAAAGAUGAAAAGAACUUUGAAAAGAGAGUUAAACAGUACGUGAAAUUGUCAAAAGGGAAGCGUUUGACACCAGUGUUGUUUUCUCGAAAAUCAAUUAAAAAGAGUUAGAUUUUGUUGUGUAUUGACCUUAACAGCUUGCAUUUCAAUUUUCUUGCUUUUUUUAAUGCACUUUUCGUUUAACAAGUCAACAUCAGUUUCUUUUGUUGUAAAAAGGUCAUUGGAAGGUGGCUUUCUUUUCGGAGAAAGUGUUUAUAGCCUUUGACUCCUGCAAUCGGAGAGACUGAGGUCUGCAGCGUAGAUCCUUCGGGGUUAGAUACAUUUGUGCUAAGUUAUAGCUUUUUAUAGACAACUUGUUGACUAUGAUUAGUCUUGUAGCUUACUCGCUUAUGCUAUUUUACCUACGCUUAGGAUGUUGAACUCUAUCACACACAG